RNAcentral lists this transfer RNA (72 nucleotides) under Camelus bactrianus (Bactrian camel). It matches the Rfam family "tRNA". Rfam says of the family: Transfer RNA (tRNA) molecules are approximately 80 nucleotides in length. Their secondary structure includes four short double-helical elements and three loops (D, anti-codon, and T loops). Further hydrogen bonds mediate the characteristic L-shaped molecular structure. tRNAs have two regions of fundamental functional importance: the anti-codon, which is responsible for specific mRNA codon recognition, and the 3' end, to which the tRNAs corresponding amino acid is attached (by aminoacyl-tRNA synthetases). tRNAs cope with the degeneracy of the genetic code in two manners: having more than one tRNA (with a specific anti-codon) for a particular amino acid; and 'wobble' base-pairing, i.e. permitting non-standard base-pairing at the 3rd anti-codon position. Lineage: Eukaryota; Metazoa; Chordata; Mammalia; Artiodactyla; Camelidae. RNAcentral also lists the same sequence under 2 other names. The record is from Rfam by way of RNAcentral.
GAAGGUAUAGCUCAAUGGUAGAGUGCAUGCCUAGCAUGCACAAGGUCCUAGGUUCAAUCCCCAGUGCCUCCA